Molecule: ribosomal RNA, 1244 nt
Filed under: metagenome
Description: bacterial LSU rRNA
Rfam family: Bacterial large subunit ribosomal RNA
Source: RNAcentral
UGAAUACGAGACGCUAAGGCGUCGAAGUAGUGUAUGUCAUACUUCCAAGAAAAGCUUGCACUGUCAUAGAUAAAAAACGCCUGUACCAUAACCGACACAGGUGGGUAGGUAGAGUAUACUAAGGGGCGCGAGAUAACUCUCUCUAAGGAACUCGGCAAAAUGACUCCGUAACUUCGGGAGAAGGAGUGCCUUAUUCUUAAGGUUGCAAUAACAAGAUCCAAGCAACUGUUUAUCAAAAACACAGGUCUCCGCUAAGUCGUAAGACGAUGUAUGGGGGCUGACGCCUGCCCAGUGCCAGAAGGUUAAAGAAGUUGGUUAGCAUUUGCGAAGCUGAUAACUGAAGCCCUGGUGAACGGCGGCCGCAACAAUAACGGUCCUAAGGUAGCGAAAUUCCUUGUCGGGUAAGUUCCGACCCGCACGAAAGGCGUAAUGAUUUGGAUACUGUCUCGGAGAGGGGCUCGGUGAAAUAGACUUGUCUGUGAAGAUGCGGACUACCUGCACCAGGACAGAAAGACCCUAUGAAGCUUUACUGUAACUUGAAAUUGAAAUUGGACUUUAUUCGCGCAGUAUAGGUGGGAGGCGUUGAUUAUAAUCUUGCGGGAUUAUUGGAGCCAUCAGUGAGAUACCACCCUUGUAAUGUUAGAUUUCUAACUUUGAAUCAUUAUCUGGUCAAAGAACAGUUUCAGGCGGGCAGUUUGACUGGGGCGGCCACCUCCUAAACGGUAACGGAGGCGUACAAAGGUUUCCUCUGAACGGUUAGAAAUCGUAUCUAGAGUGUAAAGGCAUAAGGAAGCUUGACUGUGAGACCUACAAGUCGAGCAGGGACGAAAGUCGGUCUUAGUGAUCUGACGGUACUGAGUGGAAAGGCCGUCACUCAACGGAUAAAAGUUACUCUAGGAUAACAGGCUGAUCUCCCCCAAGAGUUCACAUCGACGGGGAGGUUUGGCACCUCGAUGUCGGCUCAUCGCAUCCUGGGGCGGUAGUACGUCCCAAGGGUUGGGCUGUUCGCCCAUGAAAGCGGUACGCGAGCUGGGUUCAGAACGUCGUGAGACAGUUCGGUCCAUAUCCGGUGUAGGCGUUAGAAUAUUGAGAGGAGCCUUCUUUAGUACGAGAGGACCGAGAAGGACAUACCUCUGGCGUACCAGUUAUCGUUCCAACGGUAAACGCUGGGUAGCUAUGUAUGGAGUGGAUAACCGCUGAAAGCAUCUAAGUGGGAAGCCCACCUCAAGAUAAGUAUUCUCAUC